RNAcentral lists this ribosomal RNA (440 nucleotides) under uncultured bacterium. Its description in RNAcentral is "partial 16S ribosomal RNA". It matches the Rfam family "Bacterial small subunit ribosomal RNA", at positions 338 to 795 of the family's 1533-position model. The record is from RNAcentral.
CCUACGGGUGGCAGCAGUGGGGAAUAUUGCACAAUGGGGGAAACCCUGAUGCAGCGACGCCGCGUGAGUGAAGAAGUAAUUCGUUAUGUAAAGUACUAUCAGCAGGGAAGAAAAUGACGGUACCUGAGUAAGAAGCCCUGGCCAACUACGUGCCAGCAGCCGCGGUAAUACGGAGGGGGCACGCGUUAACCGGAAUUACUGGGUGUAAAGGGAGCGUAGACGGCAGUGCAAGUCUGGAGUGAAAGGCGCGGGCUCAACCCCCGGAGUGCUCCGGAUACUGUACAGCUGGAGUGCAGUAGAGGUGAGUAGAAUUCCAAGUGUAGCGGUGAAAUGCGUAGAGAUUAGGAGGAACACCAGUGGCGAAGGCGGCUUACUGGACUAUAACUGACGUUGAGGCGCGAAAGCGUGGGGAGCAAACAGGAUUAGAUACCCCAGUAGUC